GUCGCUGUGGUGCAAUGGGUCAGCACGUUUGGCUCUUCACCGAAAGGUUGGUGGUUCGAGCCCACCCAGGGGCG
Emys orbicularis (European pond turtle) is the source of this 74-nucleotide non-coding RNA. NCBI's taxonomy places the organism in Eukaryota, Metazoa, Chordata, Testudines, Emydidae. The record is from the annotation of a RefSeq genome assembly.